Molecule: ribosomal RNA, 253 nt
Filed under: uncultured bacterium
Lineage: Bacteria
Description: partial 16S ribosomal RNA
Rfam family: Bacterial small subunit ribosomal RNA
Source: RNAcentral
UACAGAGACCACAAGCGUUACUCGGAUUCACUGGGCGUAAAGGGUGCGUAGGCGGCUAUGUGUGUUAGGUGUGAAAUACCAGGGCUCAACCCUGGAACUGCUCCUAAAACUACAUAGCUAGAGUAUUGGAGGGGUAAGCGGAAUUCCCGGUGUAGCAGUGAAAUGCAUAGAUAUCGGGAGGAACACCAACGGCGAAGGCAGCUUACUGGACAAUAACUGACGCUGAGGCACGAAAGCGUGGGGAGCAAAAAGG